Molecule: ribosomal RNA, 1101 nt
Filed under: Cryptococcus sp. AA-090.4
Lineage: Eukaryota; Fungi; Basidiomycota; Tremellomycetes; Tremellales; Cryptococcaceae
Description: eukaryotic LSU rRNA
Rfam family: Eukaryotic large subunit ribosomal RNA (bases 444-1101)
Source: RNAcentral
UAUUGAUUGGUCGAAAGACCUUAUCAGAUUCUACCCCUCUGUGAACCGUUGACCUCCGGGUUAAUAAUCAAACAUCAGUGUAACGAACGUAAGAGUAUCUUAAUUAAACAAAACUUUUAACAACGGAUCUCUUGGCUCUCGCAUCGAUGAAGAACGCAGCGAAAUGCGAUAAGUAAUGUGAAUUGCAGAAUUCAGUGAAUCAUCGAAUCUUUGAACGCACCUUGCGCCUUUUGGUAUUCCGAAAGGCAUGCCUGUUUCAGUGUCAUGAAAUCUCAAUCUAAUAUGUUUUCUGAACAUGUUAGGCUUGGACUUGGGUGUCUGCCAGCAAUGGCUCACCUCAAAUGACUUAGUGGAACAUCCCACAUCAGUGUUAGACGUAAUAAGUUUCGUCUCUCCUUGUGGUGAUGACUGCUCAAAACCUGCCAUCGCGCACCUUUUGACUUUGACCUGAAAUCAGGUAGGGCUACCCGCUGAACUUAAGCAUAUCAAUAAGCGGAGGAAAAGAAACUAACAAGGAUUCCCCUAGUAACGGCGAGUGAACCGGGAAGAGCUCAAAUUUGAAAUCUGGCGUGCUCAGUGGCGUCCGAGUUGUAAUCUAUAGAGUCGUUUUCCGUGCCGGACUGUGUCCAAGUCCCUUGGAACAGGGUAUCAAAGAGGGUGAUAAUCCCGUACUUGACACAAUGACCGGUGCUCUGUGAUACGUCUUCUACGAGUCGAGUUGUUUGGGAAUGCAGCUCAAAAUGGGUGGUGAGUUCCAUCUAAAGCUAAAUAUUGGCGAGAGACCGAUAGCGAACAAGUACCGUGAGGGAAAGAUGAAAAGCACUUUGGAAAGAGAGUUAAACAGUACGUGAAAUUGUUAAAAGGGAAACGAUUGAAGUCAGUCGUGACUGAGAGGCUCAGCCGGUUCUGCCGGUGUAUUCCCCUCAGUCGGGUCAACAUCAGUUUUGUUCGGUGGAUAAGGGCAGUUGGAAGGUGGCACCCUCGGGUGUGUUAUAGCCAGCUGUCGCAUACAUCGGAUGAGACUGAGGAAUGCAGCUCGCCUUUAUGGCCGGGGUUCGCCCACGUUCGAGCUUAGGAUGUUGACAUAAGGCUUUAAACGCG